Molecule: long non-coding RNA, 294 nt
Organism: Salvia hispanica
Lineage: Eukaryota; Viridiplantae; Streptophyta; Magnoliopsida; Lamiales; Lamiaceae
Source: RefSeq, a predicted model, not a curated record
UCUGUAUAGUACAAGCUUUGAUUGAUUUCAGAAGUCGAAAUUGGUGUAGGACAAUAUGGGUUGGAAAUCAGCACAGAAACUGAUUCAUCACUGGAAGAUUCUUAGAGGUGAUAAUGUCAUGAUAAUCAGGGGUAAAGAUAAAGGGAGACUGGUGUUGUUAAGCGUGUAGUUCGAUCUCAGAAUUAUGUAAUUGUUGAGGGCAAGAAUCUGGUGAAAAGCAUAUCAAGCAAGGGCAGGGUCAUGAAGGCGGGAUUUUCAGUGUAGAAGCCCCUCUUCAUGUCUCAAAUGUUCAGG